RNAcentral lists this ribosomal RNA (404 nucleotides) under uncultured bacterium. RNAcentral describes it as "bacterial SSU rRNA". It matches the Rfam family "Bacterial small subunit ribosomal RNA", at positions 355 to 776 of the family's 1533-position model. The record is from RNAcentral.
UAGGGAAUAUUGGUAAUCUGGGAAACCGGGAACCAGCAACGCCGCGUGUGCGAUGAAGGCCUUCGGGUCGUAAAGCACUUUUCGAGGGGAUGAGGAAGGACAGUACCCUCGGAAUAAGUCUCGGCUAACUACGUGCCAGCAGCCGCGGUAAAACGUAGGAGGCAAGCGUUAUCCGGAUUUACUGGGCGUAAAGCGCGUGUAGGCGGUUCGAUAAGUUGGAUGUGAAAGCUCCUGGCUCAACUGGGAGAGGUCGUUCAAUACUAUCGGGCUAGAGAGUGGUAGAGGAAGGUGGAAUUCCGAGUGUAGUGGUGAAAUGCGUAGAUAUUCGGAGGAACACCAGUGGCGAAGGCGGCCUUCUGGACCACUUCUGACGCUCAGACGCGAAAGCUAGGGGAGCAAACGGG